Acanthosepion pharaonis is the source of this 106-nucleotide non-coding RNA. Lineage: Eukaryota; Metazoa; Mollusca; Cephalopoda; Sepiida; Sepiidae. The record is from the annotation of a GenBank genome assembly.
UUACGGUCACAUCACGUUGAAACACUAGUUCUCUUACGAUCAUCGCAGUUAAGCAACGUCGAGCCUGGUCAUUACCUAGAUCGGUGGCCAUUUGGGAAUAAGAGGA